This 1951-nucleotide long non-coding RNA is filed under the name Sus scrofa (pig). Its description in RNAcentral is "lncRNA (ENSSSCG00030040290.1)". The record is from RNAcentral. Lineage: Eukaryota; Metazoa; Chordata; Mammalia; Artiodactyla; Suidae.
CGUGGGGCAGUCUGCAAAGCGAGGCCUUCUCUCCUGGGAGUGCCCGUCCGUAACCACUAGUGGGAACCUCUAGCGGCACAGACCUUAGCGGGAACCAAGGAAGAGGCGCCUGCACUUCCCACCAUAGCCACUGGGUGUCGCUGCAGCCGCGCGGCUGAGCCGGCCCAGGCCGUCGGGAGGCGGGGGCGCGGGUCCAAAGGAGCUGGAUGACCCGAGCCCACCGCCGCCUUCGUCCCCGAAGCAUCCUCCGUGCUUGUUUGUGGCCUGCAGAACCUUCCUCCACCCGCCUGGUCUCUAGAGGCCUCCACCCGGCCCACAGGCUCGCAGCGAAGAGCAAAUCAACCCCCUUGCCCCGCGACGGAUGGGCUCAUUGCUGUGGCCCCGAGCGAGCCUCCUUCGGCAGGCCAGAGGAUAGACGACGCUUCCUCGGCUGCCUUGGCGGGGCCGGAUGUGCUGAAAGUCAGGCCUCCGGAGCUCGCCCCCUGGCAAAGCCGGCAGGCUUUUCCGCCGCAGAGCCGGAGGCGGCUCCCUCGAGCCCGGCGACCGCAUCUCCCCAACUGCUCGGCUGGCGCCGGUCACUGCCACUGACUGCACACGGGCCGGAUUGUUCCCCGGCGAGAAGGGGGAGGAAGAGCGAGCGCCAUGUGCAGCAUCUUCAUGUAGGAAUCUCAGUUUCCAGACCAGGGAUUGAGCUGAGGCUGCGGCGAUGAAAGCACUUAAAUCUCUGGAUGUGCUCAAGAGAGGACUCAUUUUAACCCCCUCGUUCUCACCCCAGCCUGGACCCCUAGCACCCAGGCUUUGGAAGUGGCCCUGGCCAGCCCACAGCCAGCACCAGCCAGCUCGAGCCCGAGGAGCAGCCGCUGAUGGGAUGGUUCUGGGAACCAUGGCAGAUGCCAGGUGGAAGGCAGCAGUUUGCCCUGGUCCUUGCCUCCUCAAAUCCUGCUGAAAAGCAAUAAACUCCGAAGUUUCCGUUGUGGCUCAGUGGUUAACGAAUCCGACUAGGAACCAUGAGGUUGCAGGUUGGAUUCCUGGCCUCGCUCAGUGGGUUAAGGAUCCAGCGUUGCUGUGAGCUGUGGUCACAGAUGCAGGUGGCUACAGCUCCAAUUUGACCCCUAGCCUGGGAACCUCCCUAUGCCGCUGGUGGGGCCCUAGAAAAAGACAAAAAAAAAANAGCAACAAACUCUGGGAGUUUCCAUCAUGGUGCAGUGGAAAUGAAGCUGAUCCAUAUCCAUGAGGAUGCAGGUUCAAUCCCUGGCCUCUCUCGGAUCCAGUGUUGCCGUGAGCUGUGGUGUAGGUCGCAGAUGAGGCUCGGAUCCCUCCUUGCUGUGGCUGUGGCGUAGGCCGGCAGCUGCAGCUCCAAUUUGACCCUGAGCAUGGGAACGUUCAUAUACCUCAGGUGCAGCCCUAAAAAAGGGAGAAAGAAAGAAAGAAAAAAUUCUGCACCCCUGCACCCCUCUCAGGACUAAGCUAUAGUAAGCUUUUCAGGGUAAAUCCUCACCCAGUAGAUUCCAGGCAAAGGUGGAUGUGGGCUUGCUGCCCAUCUCUGUCUGCUGGGCCUGGUUCCCCAGCCGGGGAUUAGCCAAGGUGGGGGCUGCUUCAGUCACGAGUGGCUGCUAAGGCUGCCAAGCCUGGUCCAGGAUGUCUUUCUCAAGGUCACCUCAGGACAACGACCUCCCUUCCACCCCCAGCCAGAGACCAGGCUGCAGGGAAGGGAGGGGCUCUCCAGGGGAGGACCCCCUACAGGCCACAUGGGAAUUCUACCUGGAAUUCAGCCAGGCAAGGGUAGCAGCACAGCCCAGACCUGGGGUGAAAUCCCAGUUCUCCCACUAGCUGUGAUGUGGGGCAGUUGUCCUCAGUGCAUCAGCUUCUUCACCUACAAAAUGGGAUCCUGCCACCCCGUCCCCAACCAAUCUUUUUUUUUUUUUGUCUUUCUGCUAUUUCUUUGGGCCGC